This 527-nucleotide ribosomal RNA is filed under the name uncultured Gammaproteobacteria bacterium. RNAcentral's name for it is "bacterial SSU rRNA". It matches the Rfam family "Bacterial small subunit ribosomal RNA", at positions 9 to 527 of the family's 1533-position model. Lineage: Bacteria; Pseudomonadati; Pseudomonadota; Gammaproteobacteria. The record is from RNAcentral.
GAGUUUGAUCGUGGCUCAGAUUGAACGCUGGCGGCGUGCUUAACACAUGCAAGUCGAGCGGUAACAGGUGUAGCAAUACAUGCUGACGAGCGGCGAACGGGUGAGUAAUGCUUCGGAAUCUUCCUCGUAGUGGGGAAUAACCUGGGGGAAACUCAGGCUAAUGCCGCAUACGAACUACGGUUGAAAGCGGGGGGAUCGCAAGACCUCGCGCUAUGAGAUGAGCCGAAGUCGGAUUAGCUAGUUGGUGGGGUAAAGGCCUACCAAGGCGACGAUCCGUAGCUGGUCUGAGAGGACGACCAGCCACACUGGACUGAGACACGGCCCAGACUCCUACGGGAGGCAGCAGUGGGGAAUAUUGGACAAUGGGGGGCAACCCUGAUCCAGCGACGCCGCGUGUGUGAAGAAGGCCUGCGGGUUGUAAAGCACUUUUAGUGGGGACAAAAAGCCGGGGGCUAAUACCUUCCGGUCUUGAUUUUAACCCAAAGAAAAGCACCGGCUAACUCUGUGCCAGCAGCCGCCGCAGUAAG